RNAcentral lists this ribosomal RNA (1240 nucleotides) under metagenome. RNAcentral describes it as "bacterial LSU rRNA". It matches the Rfam family "Bacterial large subunit ribosomal RNA", at positions 1564 to 2814 of the family's 2925-position model. The record is from RNAcentral.
UGAAUACGAGACGCUACGGCGUCGAAGCAGUCGAUGUCAUACUUCCAAGAAAAGCUUGCAAUGUCAUAAACAAAUAAUGCCUGUACCAUAACCGACACAGGUGGGUAGGUAGAGUAUACUAAGGGGCGCGAGAUAACUCUCUCUAAGGAACUCGGCAAAAUGACUCCGUAACUUCGGGAGAAGGAGUGCCUUAUUUAUAAGAUUGCAAUAACAAGAUCCAAGCAACUGUUUAUCAAAAACACAGGUCUCCGCUAAGUCGUAAGACGAUGUAUGGGGGCUGACGCCUGCCCAGUGCCAGAAGGUUAAAGAAGUUGGUUAGCAUUCGCGAAGCUGAUAACUGAAGCCCUGGUGAACGGCGGCCGUAACUAUAACGGUCCUAAGGUAGCGAAAUUCCUUGUCGGGUAAGUUCCGACCCGCACGAAAGGCGUAAUGAUUUGGAUACUGUCUCGGAGAGGGACUCGGUGAAAUAGACUUGUCUGUGAAGAUGCGGACUACCUGCACCUGGACAGAAAGACCCUAUGAAGCUUUACUGUAACUUGAAAUUGAAAUUGGACUUUAUUUGCGCAGUAUAGGUGGGAGGCGUUGAGAAUAUUCUUGCGGGAAUAUUGGAGCCAUCAGUGAGAUACCACUCUUGUAAUGUUAGAUUUCUAACUUUGCAUCAUUAUCUGGUCAAAGAACAGUUUCAGGCGGGCAGUUUGACUGGGGCGGUCGCCUCCCAAACGGUAACGGAGGCGUACAAAGGUUUCCUCUGAACGGGUAGAAAUCGUAUCUAGAGUGUAAAGGCAUAAGGAAGCUUGACUGUGAGACCUACAAGUCGAGCAGGGACGAAAGUCGGUCUUAGUGAUCUGACGGUGCUGAGUGGAAAGGCCGUCACUCAACGGAUAAAAGUUACUCUAGGAUAACAGGCUGAUCUCCCCCAAGAGUUCACAUCGACGGGGAGGUUUGGCACCUCGAUGUCGGCUCAUCGCAUCCUGGGGCGGUAGUACGUCCCAAGGGUUGGGCUGUUCGCCCACGAAAGCGGUACGCGAGCUGGGUUCAGAACGUCGUGAGACAGUUCGGUCCAUAUCCGGUGUAGGCGUUAGAAUAUUGAGAGGAGCCUUCUUUAGUACGAGAGGACCGAGAAGGACAUACCUCUGGUGUACCAGUUAUCGUGCCAACGGUAAACGCUGGGUAGCUAUGUAUGGAGAGGAUAACCGCUGAAAGCAUCUAAGUGGGAAGCCCACCUCAAAAUAAGUAUUCC